Molecule: non-coding RNA, 32 nt
Filed under: Macaca fascicularis (crab-eating macaque)
Lineage: Eukaryota; Metazoa; Chordata; Mammalia; Primates; Cercopithecidae
Also listed under: 1 other name
Source: RNAcentral
UGGGAGUGUGGAAGUGUCCUCCGGGAUGGCUU